Culex quinquefasciatus (southern house mosquito) is the source of this 423-nucleotide long non-coding RNA. RefSeq lists it as uncharacterized. NCBI's taxonomy places the organism in Eukaryota, Metazoa, Arthropoda, Insecta, Diptera, Culicidae. The record is from RefSeq and is a predicted model, not a curated record. The transcript has 2 exons.
AUUCAGUAAAUGUCCCAAUGGACCAUAGAACUCGCUGUCGUUGCUAAAAGAGUUUGAGUUUGCGUUCAAGUCUUUUAAGAGCAACCCCAAUAUAACAUUUCAACGAAAGUAUUGCUGUCUGAAUUCGUAAUUCGUAAUUUUCAGUGUAAGAACGGGCACCAGGUUCAUGACGAACACCUACUGCCCUUACACCUACAUCUCACCCUUGCUCUGAGUCAGUACGAGCAAAACGCUAGAACACGCUUUAAGUUUUCGUGCCAGGCAUUUGCACCUGUUCCGGUUACGCAUUUGAACUCGUUUCGGAGGUGGUACACUGCGUAGGGUUUGAUGUAAGUAUUUAUAUGCGCCUUACUAUUUAUAGUGUGCCUAAUAGCAAAAAGUGUAUUAUUUAUAGUUUGAAUUAAAAAACUAAUUGUUAUUUUA